RNAcentral lists this ribosomal RNA (253 nucleotides) under uncultured bacterium. RNAcentral's name for it is "partial 16S ribosomal RNA". It matches the Rfam family "Bacterial small subunit ribosomal RNA", at positions 524 to 776 of the family's 1533-position model. The record is from RNAcentral.
UACGUAGGGUGCAAGCGUUAAUCGGAAUUACUGGGCGUAAAGCGUGCGCAGGCGGCUUUGCAAGACAGAUGUGAAAUGCCCGGGCUUAACCUGGGAACUGCAUUUGUGACUGCAUGGCUAGAGUUUGGCAGAGGGGGGUAGAAUUCCACGUGUAGCAGUGAAAUGCGUAGAUAUGUGGAGGAACACCGAUGGCGAAGGCAGCCCCCUGGGUCAAGACUGACGCUCAUGCACGAAAGCGUGGGGAGCAAACAGG